UACAGAGGUCCCAAGCGUUGUUCGGAUUCACUGGGCGUAAAGGGUGCGUAGGUGGUGAGGUAAGUCGGAUGUGAAAUCUCCGAGCUCAACUCGGAAAUGGCAUUGGAAACUACCUUGCUCGAGGGUUGGAGGGGGGACUGGAAUUCUCGGUGUAGCAGUGAAAUGCGUAGAUAUCGAGAGGAACACCAGUGGCGAAGGCGAGUCCCUGGACAACUCCUGACACUGGGGCACGAAAGCUAGGGGAGCAAACAGG
This 253-nucleotide ribosomal RNA is filed under the name uncultured bacterium. Its description in RNAcentral is "partial 16S ribosomal RNA". It matches the Rfam family "Bacterial small subunit ribosomal RNA", at positions 524 to 776 of the family's 1533-position model. The record is from RNAcentral.